AGAUAUAUGGAAGAACACCAGUGGCGAAGGCGGCUGUCUGGUCUGUAACUGACGCUGAGGCUCGAAAGUAUGGGUAGCAAACAGGAUUAGAUACCCUGGUAGUCCAUACCGUAAACGAUGAAUGCUAAGUGUUGGAGGGUUUCCCCCUUCAGUGCUGCAGCUAACGCAUUAAGCAUUCCGCCUGGGGAGUACGGCCGCAAGGCUGAAACUCAAAGGAAUUGACGGGGGCCCGCACAAGCGGUGGAGCAUGUGGUUUAAUUCGAAGCUACGCGAAGAACCUUACCAGGUCUUGACAUACUAUGCAAAUCUAAGAGAUUAGACGUUCCCUUCGGGGACAUGGAUACAGGUGGUGCAUGGUUGUCGUCAGCUCGUGUCGUGAGAUGUUGGGUUAAGUCCCGCAACGAGCGCAACCCUUAUUAUCAGUUGCCAGCAUUAAGUUGGGCACUCUGGUGAGACUGCCGGUGACAAACCGGAGGAAGGUGGGGAUGACGUCAAAUCAUCAUGCCCCUUAUGACCUGGGCUACACACGUGCUACAAUGGAUGGUACAACGAGUUGCGAACUCGCGAGAGUAAGCUAAUCUCUUAAAGCCAUUCUCAGUUCGGAUUGUAGGCUGCAACUCGCCUACAUGAAGUCGGAAUCGCUAGUAAUCGCGGAUCAGCAUGCCGCGGUGAAUACGUUCCCGGGCCUUGUACACACCGCCCGUCACACCAUGAGAGUUUGUAACACCCAAAGUCGGUGGGGUAACCUUUAGGAACCAGCCGCCUAAGGUGGGACAGAUGAUUAGGGUGAAGUCGUAACAAGGUAACCA
Molecule: ribosomal RNA, 809 nt
Filed under: uncultured Lactobacillus sp.
Lineage: Bacteria; Bacillati; Bacillota; Bacilli; Lactobacillales; Lactobacillaceae
Description: bacterial SSU rRNA
Rfam family: Bacterial small subunit ribosomal RNA
Source: RNAcentral